GGAAGCGUGGCCGAGUGGUUUAAGGUACUGGUCUUGAAAACCAGAGAUGGGAAACUAUCCGUGAGUUCGAAUCUCACCGCUUCCG
Molecule: transfer RNA, 85 nt
Filed under: Burkholderia sp.
Lineage: Bacteria; Pseudomonadati; Pseudomonadota; Betaproteobacteria; Burkholderiales; Burkholderiaceae
Description: tRNA-Ser
Rfam family: tRNA
About the family: Transfer RNA (tRNA) molecules are approximately 80 nucleotides in length. Their secondary structure includes four short double-helical elements and three loops (D, anti-codon, and T loops).
Source: RNAcentral